CAAUAGCGUAUAUUAAAGUUGUUGCGGUUAAAAAGCUCGUAGUUGGAUUUCUGCUGAGAACGACCGGUCCGCCCUUUGGGUGUGUAUCUGGCUCUUUCUUGGCAUCUUCUUGGUGAACGUUGCUGCACUUGACUGUGUGGAGCGCUACCCAGGACUUUUACUUUGAGGAAAUUAGAGUGUUUCAAGCAGGCAUACGCCUUGAAUACAUUAGCAUGGAAUAAUAAGAUAGGACCUCGGUUCUAUUUUGUUGGUUUCUAGAGCUGAGGUAAUGAUUAAUAGGGAUAGUUGGGGGCAUUCGUAUUUAACUGUCAGAGGUGAAAUUUGAUUUGUUAAAGACGGACUACUGCGAAAGCAUUUGCCAAGGAUGUUUUCAUUGA
This 377-nucleotide ribosomal RNA is filed under the name uncultured eukaryote. Its description in RNAcentral is "partial 18S ribosomal RNA". It matches the Rfam family "Eukaryotic small subunit ribosomal RNA", at positions 592 to 976 of the family's 1831-position model. The record is from RNAcentral.